Molecule: ribosomal RNA, 468 nt
Filed under: uncultured bacterium
Lineage: Bacteria
Description: partial 16S ribosomal RNA
Rfam family: Bacterial small subunit ribosomal RNA
Source: RNAcentral
GACGAACGCUGGCGGCGUGCUUAACACAUGCAAGUCGAACGGAAAGGCCCUGCUUUUGUGGGGUGCUCGAGUGGCGAACGGGUGAGUAACACGUGAGUAACCUGCCCUUGACUUUGGGAUAACUUCAGGAAACUGGGGCUAAUACCGGAUAGGAGCUCCUGCUGCAUGGUGGGGGUUGGAAAGUUUCGGCGGUUGGGGAUGGACUCGCGGCUUAUCAGCUUGUUGGUGGGGUAGUGGCCUACCAAGGCUUUGACGGGUAGCCGGCCUGAGCGGGUGACCGGCCACAUUGGGACUGAGAUACGGCCCAGACUCCUACGGGAGGCAGCAGUGGGGAAUAUUGCACAAUGGGCGGAAGCCUGAUGCAGCAACGCCGCGUGCGGGAUGACGGCCUUCGGGUUGUAAACCGCUUUCGCCUGUGACGAAGCGUGAGUGACGGUAAUGGGUAAAGAAGCACCGGCUAACUACGUG